AGGACGAACGCUGGCGGCGUGCUUAACACAUGCAAGUCACGGGGGCCCGCAAGGGUAACCGGCGAACGGGUGCGUAACACGUGAGCAACCUGCCUUUGUGUGGGGGAUAGCCGGGCUAACGCCCGGGUAAUACCGCAUACGGUUGCCGAGGGGAGUCCCUUGGCAAAGAAACCUCCGGGGCACAAAGAGGGGCUCGCGGCCUAUCAGCUAGUUGGGGGGUAAUGGCCCACCAAGGCGACGACGGGUAGCU
This 250-nucleotide ribosomal RNA is filed under the name uncultured bacterium. RNAcentral's name for it is "partial small subunit ribosomal RNA". It matches the Rfam family "Bacterial small subunit ribosomal RNA", at positions 26 to 288 of the family's 1533-position model. The record is from RNAcentral.